CUUCACCAUGUUCGCGUCCGUCCCAAUACUCUGUUGCUAAGGGGCUGUGUUGACUUCGGUCAACGCGAACCGACCCACAUUGUUGCGGGAAGCUGUAGGGGGACGCAGGAAGGUAGAUGAACCCGGUGAAUGGUAGAACCGGGGUAAGCGUGUAGGAGGAGGACCAGGUAAAUCCGGGCCUCAUAAACUCUGAGACGUGAUACCGAGCCGCUUCAGGCGAAGUCAUUGAUCCUAUGCUGCCUAGAAAAGCCCAGCAGCGAGUUGACAUGGUGCCCGUACCCCAAACCAACACAGGUGGACAGGUAGAGCAUACCAAGGCGAGUGGGAUAACUAUGGUUAAGGAACUCGGCAAAUUGCCUCCGUAACUUCGGGAGAAGGAGGACCCCAGUAGCGUGAUGAGACUUGCUCUCUGAGCGUGAAGGGGUGGCACAAAAUUGAGGGAAGCGACUGUUUACCAAAGACACAGCAGCGUGCUAGCCGUAAGGCGCUGUAUACGCUGUGACUCCUGCCCGGUGCUGGAAGGUUACGGGGAUGGGUUAGUCCUUCGGGACGAAGCUCUGAACCUAAGCCCCAGUAAACGGCGGCCGUAACUAUAACGGUCCUAAGGUAGCGAAAUUCCUUGUCGGGUAAGUUCCGACCUGCACGAAUGGAGUAACGACUUCCCUACUGUCCCAACCAUAGACCCAGCGAAAUUGAAGUACGAGUAAAGAUGCUCGUUAGCUGCAGAAGGACGGAAAGACCCCGUGGACCUUUACUAUAACUUGAUGUUGUGUUUUGUCAUAUGUUGUGUAGGAUAGGUGGGAGACUUGGAAGCAUAGACGCUAGUCUGUGUGGAGUCAUCGUUGAAAUACCACCCUGCAUAUGGUGAGGCUCUAACCUAGGCCCGUUAUCCGGGUUGGGGACAGCGUCAGGCGGGUAGUUUAACUGGGGCGGUUGCCUCCUAAAGAGUAACGGAGGCGCCCAAAGGUUCCCUCAGCCUGGUUGGCAAUCAGGCGUUGAGUGCAAUGGCAAAAGGGAGCUUGACUGUGAGACCUACAAGUCGAGCAGGAGCGAAAGCUGGGCAUAGUGAUCCGGCGGUUGCGUGUGGAAGCGCCGUCGCUCAACGGAUAAAAGGUACCCCGGGGAUAACAGGCUAAUCUUGCCCUAGCGUCCAUAGCGACGGCAAGGUUUGGCACCUCGAUGUCGGCUCAUCGCAUCCUGGGGCUGAAGCAGGUCCCAAGGGUUGGGCUGUUCGCCCAUUAAAGCGGUACGCGAGCUGGGUUCAGAACGUCGUGAGACAGUUCGGUCCCUAUCCUCUGCAGCCGGAGGUGAAUUGAGGAAAGCUGUCCCUAGUACGAGAGGACCGGGACGGACGCAGCUCUCGUGUGCCAGUUGUCCUGCCAAGGGCAUGGCUGGUUAGCGACCUGCGGAAAGGAUAACCGCUGAAAGCAUCUAAGCGGGAAGCCUCUUCCAAGAUGAAUUCACCCACAGGGUUAACCUGGUAAGGCCCGUGGUAGACCACCACGUUGAUAGGCCGGAAGUGUAAGCGUGGCAACACGUUCAGCUGACCGGUACUAAUCGGCCGAGGGCUUGAGUC
RNAcentral lists this ribosomal RNA (1576 nucleotides) under metagenome. RNAcentral describes it as "bacterial LSU rRNA". It matches the Rfam family "Bacterial large subunit ribosomal RNA", at positions 1368 to 2925 of the family's 2925-position model. The record is from RNAcentral.